This 27-nucleotide ribosomal RNA is filed under the name Phaseolus vulgaris (common bean). Its description in RNAcentral is "partial large subunit ribosomal RNA". The record is from RNAcentral. Lineage: Eukaryota; Viridiplantae; Streptophyta; Magnoliopsida; Fabales; Fabaceae.
GAGACCUCAGUCAGGCGACACCCACUU